This 253-nucleotide ribosomal RNA is filed under the name uncultured bacterium. RNAcentral describes it as "partial 16S ribosomal RNA". It matches the Rfam family "Bacterial small subunit ribosomal RNA", at positions 524 to 776 of the family's 1533-position model. The record is from RNAcentral.
UACGGAGGGGGCUAGCGUUGUUCGGAAUUACUGGGCGUAAAGCGUACGUAGGCGGCUUUGUAAGUUAGAGGUGAAAGCCCGGGGCUCAACUCCGGAAUUGCCUUUAAGACUGCAUCGCUUGAAUCAUGGAGAGGUGAGUGGAAUUCCGAGUGUAGAGGUGAAAUUCGUAGAUAUUCGGAAGAACACCAGUGGCGAAGGCGACUUACUGGACACAUAUUGACGCUGAGGUGCGAAAGCGUGGGGAGCAAACAGG